Molecule: ribosomal RNA, 253 nt
Filed under: uncultured bacterium
Lineage: Bacteria
Description: partial 16S ribosomal RNA
Rfam family: Bacterial small subunit ribosomal RNA
Source: RNAcentral
UACGUAGGGGGCAAGCGUUGUCCGGAUUUAUUGGGCGUAAAGAGCGUGUAGGCGGUUUGGUAGGUCCGUUGUGAAAACUCGAGGCUCAACCUCGAGACGCCGAUGGAAACCAUCAGACUAGAGUCCGGAAGAGGAGAGUGGAAUUCCUGGUGUAGCGGUGAAAUGCGCAGAUAUCAGGAAGAACACCCGUGGCUAAGGCGGUUCUCUGGGCCUUACCUGACGCUGAGGAGCGAAAGCGUGGGGAGCGAACAGG